AUGUUUCCUCCUCUGGUCCAGUUCUCCUGGAAAAGACAGAAGAAGAACGGCGGAGAAGCGGAGGAGCUGCCCCCUGCUGAGGGAGAGCAGCUGGAGCUCAGAGAGGCGGGACGCACCAUUGCCAUCAGGAUGGUUGAUGGGAGCCAUUCUGACACAUAUAAAUACAGCUGCUGGGUGAAGCACGAGGGGGGCACAGUGGAGGCCCGAACACAACAAGAGCUUCCAGCUCCAGCAGCCUCCUGUCCUCCAGAGAGAGAGCCAGCAGACCUGCCAGCUCUGCAGCCAGCUGACUUGUCCUUCCAGUCUCAGUGCAGGGUGAAGCUGCUCUGCCUGCUGUACACAGUGCUGAUAGUGAAGAGUCUGGUGUACUGCUGUGGACUCUCUCUGCUGAUGAUGCUCACAAACAAGGGAGCGUCCACCAACUGCACACAUGCUGACUGACUGUUUCCUGCUCGCCUUUUCUCACCAUCACAUCUCAUCAAUUCAUCUCAUUCAUCACUUUGAUCACAAAUGUUAGUUAUGAUGUGUUGAGCUUAUUUUGCCUUUUUCUUCAACAGUUAGAAGAUCGUCUGAAAUAAAUACAUCUUUACAUGUAUUGUUGCUCUGAGUUAGAAUUCUUUUUGUGCUUAUUGUGACUUUUAUUGUAGUAACAAAAACCAUCAGGAAUAUUUUUAUCACAAGUUUUCACUUUGAUUUUCAAAUGUCAAACAGUGUAGUUGUGUUUGUGUGAACAAUAAAGAUUUGAAGAUGAAGAG
Astatotilapia calliptera (eastern happy) is the source of this 755-nucleotide long non-coding RNA. Lineage: Eukaryota; Metazoa; Chordata; Actinopteri; Cichliformes; Cichlidae. The record is from Ensembl.